This 464-nucleotide ribosomal RNA is filed under the name uncultured bacterium. Its description in RNAcentral is "partial 16S ribosomal RNA". It matches the Rfam family "Bacterial small subunit ribosomal RNA", at positions 339 to 795 of the family's 1533-position model. The record is from RNAcentral.
CUACGGGCCGCUGCAGUGGGGAAUAUUGCACAAUGGGCGCAAGCCUGAUGCAGCCAUGCCGCGUGUAUGAAGAAGGCCUUCGGGUUGUAAAGUACUUUCAGCGGGGAGGAAGGGAGUAAAGUUAAUACCUUUGCUCAUUGACGUUACCCGCAGAAGAAGCACCGGCUAACUCCGUGCCAGCAGCCGCGGUAAUACGGAGGGUGCAAGCGUUAAUCGGAAUUACUGGGCGUAAAGCGCACGCAGGCGGUUUGUUAAGUCAGAUGUGAAAUCCCCGGGCUCAGCCUGGGAACUGCAUCUGAUACUGGCAAGCUGGAGUCUCGUAGAGGGGGGUAGAAUGCCAGGUGUAGCGGUGAAAUGCGUAGAGAUCUGGAGGAAUACCGGUGGCGAAGGCGGCCCCCUGGACGAAGACUGACGCUCAGGUGCGAAAGCGUGGGGAGCAAACAGGAUUAGAUACCCCCGUAGUC